This 164-nucleotide ribosomal RNA is filed under the name Amphipogon amphipogonoides. Its description in RNAcentral is "5.8S ribosomal RNA". It matches the Rfam family "5.8S ribosomal RNA". Rfam says of the family: 5.8S ribosomal RNA (5.8S rRNA) is a component of the large subunit of the eukaryotic ribosome. It is transcribed by RNA polymerase I as part of the 45S precursor that also contains 18S and 28S rRNA. Functionally, it is thought that 5.8S rRNA may be involved in ribosome translocation. Lineage: Eukaryota; Viridiplantae; Streptophyta; Magnoliopsida; Poales; Poaceae. The record is from RNAcentral. RNAcentral also lists the same sequence under 1 other name.
CGAACGACUCUCGGCAACGGAUAUCUCGGCUCUCGCAUCGAUGAAGAACGUAGCAAAAUGCGAUACAUGGUGUGAAUUGCAGAAUCCCGCGAACCAUCGAGUUUUUGAACGCAAGUUGCGCCCGAGGCCUUCUGGUCGAGGGCACGCCUGCCUGGGCGUCACGC